UACGUAGGUGGCAAGCGUUGUCCGGAUUUACUGGGCGUAAAGAGCGCGCAGGCGGUCGGAUAAGUCGAAUGUGAAAGCCCCCGGCUCAACUGGGGAGGGUCAUUCGAUACUGUUCGACUCGAAGGCAGGAGAGGGAAGUGGAAUUCCCGGUGUAGUGGUGAAAUGCGUAGAUAUCGGGAGGAACACCAGUGGCGAAGGCGACUUCCUGGCCUGUUCUUGACGCUGAGGCGCGAAAAGCUAGGGGAGCAAACGGGG
RNAcentral lists this ribosomal RNA (255 nucleotides) under uncultured bacterium. Its description in RNAcentral is "partial 16S ribosomal RNA". It matches the Rfam family "Bacterial small subunit ribosomal RNA", at positions 524 to 777 of the family's 1533-position model. The record is from RNAcentral.